RNAcentral lists this long non-coding RNA (2414 nucleotides) under Salmo salar (Atlantic salmon). RNAcentral's name for it is "lncRNA (ENSSSAG00000100711.1)". Lineage: Eukaryota; Metazoa; Chordata; Actinopteri; Salmoniformes; Salmonidae. The record is from RNAcentral.
AAAUGAGACCACUCUGACCAUUUUACUCGCCCUAGCAGAGCUGGUUAGGCAGUUUUUGUGUUAAUCAGAGCAUUGGUGACUGUAACUGUGCUGCUGGAAACAAUUUAAUUACGCUUUUUUGCCGACUUUUACUGACACUGGCCAUAUUCAAUGGGUAUUGAUCACUAGUAAUUACUUAUUCUGUGCUCUGGUACACUCAGAGAGAGUGCUCUGAAAUCGGACAAGCUAGCCAGAGCGAAUUUACGAAAGCACCCGAAUGUCUAUUGAGAACGCACAAAAACUAUACCAUUUAGCUAAACUAAGAAUUACGGGAAUAAUCAAUUCAAUAAACGUUGGGCAGUUAGAUAGCCUAUAGUUAUUAUACUUGGCCAGGUCGCAAUUGUAAAUGAGAACUUGUUCUCAACUUGCCUACCUGGUUAAAUAAAGGUGAAAUAAAUAAAAUAAAUAAAAUACUGUCAAGUUUAAUGUACAGUAUAACUACUAAAGUUAGGUAGAUAGCUAACGUACCGGUACAUACUGCUGUAAUGAUAUGCUAUGUGGUUAGUAAGGACAGCGUAGCUAACAAAUUGUCAGCCAACAUAACGUUAUUUGAAAAGUUAUUACUUUAUUACAUUGAGUAGCAAGCUACCAUGAGGACACGCUCCAUUGACUCUGCGGCUUGAGCAUGCUUUUGGUGCACAGUCAAUAGCGCGCUGGAUUUCAGGCAAGAAGGUUGGUGGUUCGAAACCUGCUCCCCCUGCUUGUUUCAUUUGAAGUUUAUUUGAAAUGAUCAGUUUAUUAUUUGGUUUAUAGUGCCCAUUCUUUGUCAGUUAGAGACACGGUAGUGCAUUGGGACCUAAAAGCAUAAUCACUUCUCUAACUCCCCCUGUUCGUUAGGGCAAAUCUGGUCUGUGAUAGGAUUUUUUUUUACACACCUAUCUCAGCUAUUAGACUAUUCUUUAGUAAAGGUUGAAUAGUCUAUUGUUCAGCUAUUAGGCCACCUCCCCAACUUGCAACAAAUGGAUAUAUCGAGAGCAAAACUUUUUUAUUUAAAAUCAAAAAUAAUAGUUCUGAAAGCAAAAACGAGGCUUCAAAGUAAAACAAAUAUUUUGCAAUCAAAUAUGUUGUAAUAGAGCGCAAAACUUUAUGCUUUUUAUUCCCCAAAAAUAUAUUGAGAACAAAAAAUGUAUUUGAAAACAAAACUCCAAUUUAAUUUCACUAUCAACCACCCUCCAUGUUGGCCAUUUUUGAGUGUCGGUUUGGCUACAACCAAUACUGUUUCUUUCCAACACAAAGGAUGUCAUAGCGGACACUUAUGAAGAAGGACUGUGUGAUGAUGGCAUCUUAGAUACAACAUUGUCAUCUUUGGCGGUAUAGAUGGAUUUUCAAGGAAGAGUGAGAGCUAAUGAAGGGGUCGAAAAUGUAGAUAUUGCCAGAUGUUCACUGUCCGAGGAACAGGCCAUGGAAGCUUUAUUGCUGGCAAAAGUGUCCAUAACCAGAGCUGUGGCAUAUCGGAAUGCUCCAAACACCUGUGCACAUUUUUGUUUUUGCCACUACACAUCUGAUUCAACUGAUCAAGUCAUCAUCAAGCAUCAUGUGGUUAAUAUCAGCUGUGUUGGUGAACCCCUCCCGCAUCUGAACUGGCUGACACAGAGGGCACAGUGUGAUCAUAGAUGAACAAUCGAGAGCAUCCUAUUGGGCUGUAUCUCCGACUGGUAUGAAAACUGCUCCGCCCACAACCGUAAGGCUCUCCAGAGGGUAGUGAGGUCUGCACAACGCAUCAUCGGGGGCAAACUACCUGCCCUUCAGGACACCUACACCACCCGAUGUCACAGGAAGGCAAAAAGAUCAUCAAGGACAACAACCACCUGAGCCUGUUCACCCCGCUAUCAUCCAGAAUGCGAGGUCACUACAGGUGCAUCAAAGCUGGGACUAAGAGACUGAAAAACAGCUUCUAUCUCAAGCCCAUCAGACUGUUAAACAGCCAUCACUAACAUUGGGUGGCUGCUGCCAACAUACUGACUCAAAUCUCUAACCACUUUAAUAAUUACAAAUUGGAUGUAAUAAAUGGAUCACUAGUCACUUUAAACAAUGCCACUUUAUUUAAUGUUUACAUACCCUACAUUACUCAUCUCAUAUGCAUACACUGUACUCUAUACCAUCUACUGCAUCUUGCCUAUGCCGCAUGGCCAUCGCUCAUCCAUAUAUUUAUAUGUACAUAUUCUUAUUAAUUCCUUUACACUUGUGUGUAUAAGGUAGUUGUUUUGAAAUUGUUAGAUUACUUGUUAGAUAUUACUGCACGGUCGGAGCUAGAAGCAAAAGCAUUUUGCUACACUCACAUUAACAUCUGCUAACCAUGUGUAUGUGACCAAUCAAAUUUGCUUUGAUUUGAUUUGAUAUAAUAUUACAAUUAUCGUAAUUACAAUGCAUGCUCU